AUAUUCCAGAAACCCGAUGCUGGCUCCCUCAUUUUCCAUAGACCUCAUCUUCAGUCUCUAAAGAAGAAAACGGUGACAAGAAAUCGGAAGCCCAAUGCAGUCUGUACUCUUCAUGGAUGAACUUCUCAUGUUAAGUGCAAGUAUUUACAUGGUACAUGUCUGACAAAGGAAGCCUUACUGCAAUCGUUCCUGACUGGACAGCUCCUAUAGACAGCAUCCGUUUAUAAGUGUUUCCUUUCUGAUAUACGUUAUAGAAUACUGUAAAGAAAUUAUGAAAAUUAUAUUGAACAAAUCAAGAAGUGGUUCAAGUUUUUGAAAACCUCAAUGUAAAGUUUACAUAUUUUCAAAGUUGAAUAAUUUUACACUGGGGUGGGAAGUGAAGUAUAAAUAAACUGAGUUGUGAUAAUUUUUCAUGGAAUGAGACUGUCAGGCAGGAGCAGUUAAAUUAAUAUAUACUGUACUUUAAAAAUUAAACACUUGAGAAAUAACCUUUUUAGCCACUGGAAAAUGGCAAAGUCUAAGACAUUUCAAUCAAGUUAAUUUGGGUAUCAGAGAAAUGCAUUUUCCCACCAGAAACUAUGUGAAGAAACAAAUUAAACAAAAUGGCCCUCCGGAUGCUGGGGUAGCCCUGGGCAAGGAGCGGCACCAUUGCUUGUCAAUUAGGUUAUUAUACACACACAUUCCCUCAUUUUAAAUCACGCCAAAGCUGAACAGUCGAUGGUAUAUCAAAAUGAAGCAUGACUUGCAAUUUAAAUGUUUUUUUGUUUCUUUGUUUUAACUUUCUUUUUACUCCUGGACAAAGGGUCCUGCUGGGUUUCUCAGGUUGGGUUGGCUAAUUUCUUAGCUCCAAAGAGCCUCCUGCCUCAGUCCCCGGCACAGCAGCUGAGACUACAGGCUUGAACGCACUGUAGUAGGCUCAGAAUUUCUCUUUGACAAGCACUGACCUGGAGCAACUAGUCUAAUUCAUCUAUGUGUUCCAGGAUCUUUCCCUUGCUCACCCUGGCAUGCUAAAGUUCCUGGAACAAAUUUGAGCAGUCUUGGAAGUAGAAGAGGAGGCCAGGAGGACACUUUAACCAGCUCUGACGUUACCUCAAAGACACCAGCAUGGAGACAGAUCAGCUUUUCUGGCCACACUAGCUGCAGGGCUCAGUCUCAGACUUCCCAAGACAGGACAGUGGCAAUCUGGACAGGUUGCUUAACUCCCCCACCCCACCCCAACUUCUGUUUCUUUUGCAUGUCAAGGUCUAGCCUUGGACUGGGUCCCCAACAAAUAUGCAACAGACCCUGAGAGCUGCUCAUGAGCCCCACUACACUGCAGAAGGCGGGGAAGGCAGGCAGGCUGUCCUUAUGCUUUUGUUUUCAACACCACCUUGAGACUAAGAAACAACAGAGGUAACUUUAGGAUUCCCUUAGGAGCUGAGUGUUUUUGUUAAAUUAUUUAUUUUAUUUAUAUGAGUACACUGUCACUGACACGUCAGAAAAGGGCAUCAAAUACCAUUACAGAUGGUGGUGAGCCACUGUGUGGUUGUUAGAAAUUGAACUCAGAAACUCUGGAAGAGCAGUCAGUGCUCUUAACCACUUAGCCAUCUCUCCAGUCACGGAGCUGAGUUUUUUAAGGGCGAGGUUAAAGCCCUUCAUCUAAAACCACUGAACGUAGGCAGGCACAGAAGACCCCGAUGACUUCAGUUUGGGCACAUAAAAUUUUCUACUAAAGAGAAAAUUCCACUGACACCAGAGGGGGCAACUUUUUAAAAUAAGCAAUGUUAUAUAGAUCAAUAAUAUUUGAUUAGAUACUUCCUUAUAGUUGACCAGGCUCCACCAAGAAAGAUGAAUAGCAAAUCAGAAACACCACCAAAUGGGAAGUAGAUCUAACAUCCUGUUGCCUCUUGGUACAGUCUAUUGCCUGUUCAAAAUGGAGUCUCAUAAAGUCAGGUUACCUUGAAAUUCUCACAUUGAAAUGUUGGAAUUUAUAAUCAUGAGCCAUCAAAUCUAACUUAGUCUCUUUUUCUCCUACAUGCUCAGUGGGUAAGAGCUUGUUGCUCUUGCAGAGGACCAGCACCCACAUGGUGGCUCUCAACUGUCUGUAACUCCAAUUUCUGGGGAUCUGACGCCCUCUCCUGGACUGCACAGGCACUGCAUUCAUAUAACAUACAUCCAUGCACUCAGGGCUGGGACUGCAGGCAAGUGCCAUGUGUCGCCUUAACCAGGACAUGGGAUGCUGGGAUUCAAAACCAAGAAUUCCUGCACAGCGGGCUGAAGGCUGAAGUGGGAGGACGGUGAGCUCUAGGCCAGCCUGGACUACAUAGUGAAACCCAGCCUAAAGAAGAAAAAAUGGCCAGUGUCUUGGAGAAAACUGAGUUUCCAGCAGCUGGUACUCAUGUCCUUGUGACUCAGACAGCUUGGGCUCAUGAGCUCUACUCAGCUGACCUGUCGUAAUCGUCUGGGUAUAAAUUGUCUGAUGUUCUGAAUACAGCCAAGGCACCAAGGAACCCUGCCUGAAAACUUCAGCUCGGACUUCAGACAACUGUGUUACAGCACGUACCAAUUUUACUACACAUCUGACACGUUCUGCUCUUAUAGAAACAUAAUUGUUUAAUUAGAGAAAAUAAAUGUUUUAAUAUUUUCCUACUAUCAUUCUUUAACAUACAAGUACAAAUUAAUCUGUGUUUAAACUGUGUUAUGUUAGAACAUUCAUUUUUAAGUGAAUAUUUUCAAAUAAUAAAUAUUUUCAUUUUGAAAGGAAAAAUUUAAAAAUUAAAGGUGCUGAAUUGAACCA
RNAcentral lists this long non-coding RNA (2776 nucleotides) under Mus caroli (Ryukyu mouse). RNAcentral describes it as "lncRNA (MGP_CAROLIEiJ_G0002671.1)". The record is from RNAcentral. Lineage: Eukaryota; Metazoa; Chordata; Mammalia; Rodentia; Muridae.